CCUACGGGGGGCAGCAGUGAGGAAUAUUGGUCAAUGGGCGUAAGACUGAACCAGCCAAGUCGCGUGAGGGAUGAAGGUUCUAUGGAUCGUAAACCUCUUUUAUAAGGGAAUAAAGAGUGGGACGUGUCCUAUUUUGUAUGUACCUUAUGAAUAAGGAUCGGCUAACUCCGUGCCAGCAGCCGCGGUAAUACGGAGGAUCCGAGCGUUAUCCGGAUUUAUUGGGUUUAAAGGGUGCGUAGGCGGCCUUUUAAGUCAGCGGUGAAAGUCUGUGGCUCAACCAUAGAAUUGCCGUUGAAACUGGGGGUCUUGAGUAGGUUUGAGGCAGGCGGAAUGCGGGGUGUAGCGGUGAAAUGCUUAGAUAUCGCGCAGAACCCCGAUUGCGAAGGCAGCCUGCCAGGCCAUGACUGACGCUGAUGCACGAAAGCGUGGGGAUCAAACAGGAUUAGAUACCCGGGUAGUC
This 460-nucleotide ribosomal RNA is filed under the name uncultured bacterium. RNAcentral's name for it is "partial 16S ribosomal RNA". It matches the Rfam family "Bacterial small subunit ribosomal RNA", at positions 338 to 795 of the family's 1533-position model. The record is from RNAcentral.